GCGGUUAAUUGGACUCAACGACCGGGCAGCUCACCGGAUAAGACAGCUGGAUGAUAGCCGGGCUGAAGACUCUGCUUGACUAGCUGAGAGGAGGUGCAUGGCCGUCGUCAGUUCGUACUGUGAAGCAUCCUGUUAAGUCAGGCAACGAGCGAGACCCACGCCAACAGUUGCCAGCAUGUCCUCCGGGAUGAUGGGGACACUGUUGGGACCGCCUCUGCUAAAGAGGAGGAAGGAAUGGGCAACGGUAGGUCAGCAUGCCCCGAAUUAUCCGGGCUACACGCGGGCUACAAUGGUCAGGACAAUGGGUAUCGACACCGAGAGGUGGAGGCAAUCUCCUAAACCUGUCCUUAGUUCGGAUUGUGGGCUGCAACUCGCCCACAUGAAGCUGGAAUCCGUAGUAAUCGCGUUUCAAAAUAGCGCGGUGAAUAUGUCCCUGCUCCUU
This 442-nucleotide ribosomal RNA is filed under the name uncultured Methanolinea sp. RNAcentral describes it as "bacterial SSU rRNA". It matches the Rfam family "Archaeal small subunit ribosomal RNA", at positions 897 to 1338 of the family's 1478-position model. Lineage: Archaea; Methanobacteriati; Methanobacteriota; Methanomicrobia; Methanomicrobiales; Methanoregulaceae. The record is from RNAcentral.